This 306-nucleotide ribosomal RNA is filed under the name gamma proteobacterium endosymbiont of Schizaphis rufula. Its description in RNAcentral is "bacterial SSU rRNA". It matches the Rfam family "Bacterial small subunit ribosomal RNA", at positions 115 to 424 of the family's 1533-position model. Lineage: Bacteria; Pseudomonadati; Pseudomonadota; Gammaproteobacteria. The record is from RNAcentral.
GUCUGGGGAUCUGCCUGAGGGAGGGGGAUAACUACUGGAAACGGUAGCUAAUACCGCAUGAUGUUACGCGACCAAAGCGGGGGACCUCCGGGCCUCGCGCCAUCAGAUGAACCCAGAUGGGAUUAGCUAGGGGGAGAGGUAAGGGCUCCCCUAGGCGACGAUCCCUAGCUGGUCUGAGAGGAUAACCAGCCACACUGGAACUGAGAGACGGUCCAGACUCCUACGGGAGGCAGCAGUGGGGAAUAUUGCACAAUGGGCGCAAGCCUGAUGCAGCCAUGCCGCGUGUGUGAAGAAGGCCUUCGGGUU